Molecule: ribosomal RNA, 777 nt
Filed under: Morganella sp. HK-1
Lineage: Bacteria; Pseudomonadati; Pseudomonadota; Gammaproteobacteria; Enterobacterales; Morganellaceae
Description: bacterial SSU rRNA
Rfam family: Bacterial small subunit ribosomal RNA
Source: RNAcentral
GAGCAUGCGAGCUACACAUGCAGUCGGGCGGGUAACAGGGGAGAGCUUGCUUCUCUGCUGACGAGCGGCGGACGGGUGAGUAAUGUAUGGGGAUCUGCCUGAUGGCGGGGGAUAACUACUGGAAACGUAGCUAAUACCGCAUAAUGUCUACGGACCAAAGCGGGGGACCUCCGGGCCUCGCGCCAUCGGAUGAACCCAUAUGGGAUUAGCUUGUAGGUGAGGUAACGGCUCACCUAGGCGACGAUCCCUAGCUGUCUGAGAGGAUGAUCAGCCACACUGGGACUGAGACACGGCCCAGACUCCUACGGGAGGCAGCAGUGGGGAAUAUUGCACAAUGGGCGCAAGCCUGAUGCAGCCAUGCCGCGUGUAUGAAAAAGGCCUCGGGUUGUAAAGUACUUUCAGUCGGGAGGAAGGUGGUGAGUUUAAUACACGUCAUCGAUUGACGGUUACCUGACAGAAUAAAGCACCGGGCUAACUCCGUGGCCAGCAGCCCGCGGGUAAUACGGAAGGUGGCAAGCGUUUAAUCGGAAAUUACCUGGGCGUAAAGCGCACGUCAGGCGGGUUGAUUGAGAUCAGAUGUGAAAAUCCCCGGGGCUUUAACCUCGGGAAAUUGCAUUCUUGUAUACUGCGUCAGCUAGAAGUCUUUGUAGAAGGGGGGGUAGAAAUUCCCAUGUGGUAGCAGGUGAAAAUGCGUUAGAAGAUGUGGGAGGAAAUACCCGGUGGGCGAAAGGCAGGCCCCCCUUGGGACAAAUAACUGAACGCUCAGACUGCGAAAAG